GUCUACAACGAUAAAACCCCCUUAUAAAGACAUACAGUGAAAUAUACACGUACAUGAAUUCAUUCUUUGAUGACUUUUUCAUUCUGAUGUGAGAACCUGGAUAUGUCUUAUCUAUUGUAUAUAAGUAUCCUGGUAAUUUUUUUAUGAAUCCGCCGAUUCACCUCUAAGAAAAUUCAUUGCCUUUUCUUUAGCCCUCCACGCCAACAUGUAGCUACCUGGUAAUUUUUUAUAUGAAUCAGUCGGUUCACCUCUAAGAAAAUUCAUUGCGUUAUCUUUAGCCCUCCGCGCCAACAUGUAGCUAACAUCUACACAUAAAUCUAAUUUCACAUCAUCAAUAA
This 338-nucleotide long non-coding RNA is filed under the name Nicotiana benthamiana. RNAcentral's name for it is "long non-coding RNA (NBEN_LNC029074)". The record is from RNAcentral. Lineage: Eukaryota; Viridiplantae; Streptophyta; Magnoliopsida; Solanales; Solanaceae.